Molecule: ribosomal RNA, 1167 nt
Filed under: Triticum aestivum (bread wheat)
Lineage: Eukaryota; Viridiplantae; Streptophyta; Magnoliopsida; Poales; Poaceae
Description: partial small subunit ribosomal RNA
Source: RNAcentral
AUGGCGGCGGCGGGCUCCUCCAGGCGCGGGCCGAUGGACGACGACAAGCUGAACUUCGAGACCUCGGCGGGGGUGGAUGUCGUGGGAAGCUUCGACGCGAUGGGCAUCCGCGAGGACCUGCUCCGCGGCAUCUACGGCUACGGCUUCGAGAAGCCCUCUGCCAUCCAACAGCGCGCCGUCGUCCCCAUCAUCGCCGGCCGCGACGUCAUCGCCCAGGCCCAGUCCGGCACCGGCAAGACCUCCAUGGUCUCCCUCUCCGUCUGCCAGGUCAUCGACACCAACAUCCACGAGGUGCAAGCAUUGAUACUGUCACCAACUAGGGAACUGGCCACACAAACAGAGAGGGUGAUGCAAGCUGUUGGGAACUACAUGAGUGUCUCUGUGCAUGCCUGUGUCGGUGGCAAAAGUAUCGGUGAGGAUAUUAGGAAGCUUGAGGCUGGAGUGCAUGUUGUUUCAGGAACCCCAGGCAGAGUAUGUGAUAUGAUCAAGAGAAGGACCUUGCGCACAAGAGCCAUCAAGCUCCUAGUCCUGGAUGAAGCCGAUGAGAUGUUGACCAGAGGUUUUAAGGAUCAGAUCUAUGAUGUCUACAGAUACCUCCCCCCAGAACUUCAGAUAACUAGCAAGUUCAUGACUGAUCCAGUCAGGAUCCUUGUAAAGCGUGAUGAGUUGACCCUAGAGGGCAUGAAACAAUUCUUUGUUGCUGUUGAGAAGGAAGAGUGGAAGUUUGAUACGCUGUGCGAUCUUUAUGAUACACUGACCAUCACCCAGGCUGUCAUUUUCUGCAAUACUAAGAGAAAGGUGGAUUGGCUUACUGAAAGGAUGCGCACCAACAACUUUACAGUAUCAGCUAUGCAUGGUGACAUGCCUCAAAAGGAAAGGGAUGCGAUUAUGAGUGAGUUCAGGAGUGGCACGACCCGUGUUCUGAUCACAACAGAUGUUUGGGCUCGAGGGCUGGAUGUUCAGCAGGUCUCUCUUGUCAUUAAUUAUGAUCUCCCGAAUAAUCGUGAGCUUUACAUCCAUCGCAUCGGUCGCUCUGGGCGUUUUGGGCGCAAGGGUGUGGCGAUCAACUUUGUGCGCAAGGACGACAUCCGCAUCCUGAGGGACAUUGAGCAGUACUACAGCACGCAGAUCGAUGAGAUGCCGAUGAACGUCGCCGAUUUGAUCUGA